This 421-nucleotide ribosomal RNA is filed under the name uncultured bacterium. RNAcentral's name for it is "partial 16S ribosomal RNA". It matches the Rfam family "Bacterial small subunit ribosomal RNA", at positions 359 to 773 of the family's 1533-position model. The record is from RNAcentral.
GAAAUUUGACAAUAGGCGAAAGCCCCAUCCAGCCAUGCCGCGUGGGUGAAGAAGGCCUUCGGGUUGUAAAGCCCUUUUGUUGGGAAAGAGAUCUUUAGGGUGUAUACACGGAGAGGGUGACGGUACCCGAAGAAUAAGCAGCGGCGAUCUUAGUGCGAGCAGCCGCGGUAAUACGAAGGGUGCAAGCGUUACUCGGAAUUACUGGGCGUAAAGGGUGCGUAGGUGGUUCGUUAAGUCUGAUGUGAAAGCCCUGGGCUCAACCUGGGAAUUGCAUUGGAUACUGGCGGGCUUGAGUGCGGUAGAGGGAAGUGGAAUUCCCGGUGUAGCAGUGAAAUGCGUAGAUAUCGGGAGGAACAUCCGUGGCGAAGGCGACUACCUGGACCAGCACUGACACUGAGGCACGAAAGCGUGGGGAGCAAAC